RNAcentral lists this ribosomal RNA (424 nucleotides) under uncultured bacterium. RNAcentral's name for it is "bacterial SSU rRNA". It matches the Rfam family "Bacterial small subunit ribosomal RNA", at positions 355 to 776 of the family's 1533-position model. The record is from RNAcentral.
UGAGGAAUAUUGGACAAUGGUCGCAAGACUGAUCCAGCCAUGCCGCGUGCAGGAAGACUGCCCUAUGGGUUGUAAACUGCUUUUGUAUGGGAAGAAUAAGAGCUACGUGUAGCUUGAUGACGGUACCAUACGAAUAAGCAUCGGCUAACUCCGUGCCAGCAGCCGCGGUAAUACGGAGGAUGCAAGCGUUAUCCGGAAUCAUUGGGUUUAAAGGGUCCGUAGGCGGACCAAUAAGUCAGGGGUGAAAGUCUGCAGCUCAACUGUAGAAUUGCCUUUGAUACUGUUGGUCUUGAAUGUGUAGGAAGUGGCUGGAAUGAGUAGUGUAGCGGUGAAAUGCAUAGAUAUUACUCAGAACACCAAUUGCGAAGGCAGGUCACUACUACACCAUUGACGCUGAUGGACGAAAGCGUGGGGAGCGAACAGG